GGCGAACGGGUGAGUAACACGUAGGUGAUCUGCCCUUGAGUUGGGGAUAGCCCAUGGAAACAUGGAGUAAUACCGAAUACGAUCCGGACCUUAUGGGGACCGGAGGAAAAGCGCUUCGGCGCUGCUCGAGGAUGAGCCUGCGGCUGAUUAGCUAGUUGGUGGGGUAAAGGCCUACCAAGGCGACGAUCAGUAGCCGGCCUGAGAGGGUGAGCGGCCACACUGGGACUGAGAUACGGCCCAGACUCCUACGGGAGGCAGCAGCUAAGAAUCUUCCGCAAUGGACGAAAGUCUGACGGAGCGACGCCGCGUGGGUGAUGAAGGCCGGAAGGUUGUAAAGCCCUUUUCUAUCUGAGGAAUAAGCCUACGAGGCAAUGCGUGGGUGAUGACGGUAGGGUAGGAAUAAGCCCCGGCCAAUUACGUGCCAGCAGCCGCGGUAACACGUAUGGGGCGAGCGUUGUUCGGAAUCAUUGGGCGUAAAGGGCGCGCAGGCGGUUAUACAAGCCUGGUGUGAAAGACCACAGCUCAACUGUGGGGCCGCACUGGGAACUGUAUGACUGGAGUUCAAGAGGGGAAGCUGGAAUUCCU
This 585-nucleotide ribosomal RNA is filed under the name uncultured Spirochaetota bacterium. RNAcentral's name for it is "bacterial SSU rRNA". It matches the Rfam family "Bacterial small subunit ribosomal RNA", at positions 97 to 671 of the family's 1533-position model. The record is from RNAcentral. Lineage: Bacteria; Pseudomonadati; Spirochaetota.